UCCCCCUUUCUUUUUUUUUUCCUUCCUCUAGGUCUUCUUAAACUUUCCAUUUUUUCUCCUGUAUAUUCAUUACAUUUGUCAGGAUUUCAAUUUGUCAUCAACAUGGUAGUAAGUACCCCAUAAAUAGUACUCUCAUAGGGACAGGGUGCAGACAAUUACUCAGUUCAGGAAUGGACUCUAUCACAUGUCUCAUAGUGGUAGGAAUAAUCCUCGAGGUGGCUCGUCGGCCCCAUCCUUGGUCUUGUUGCUAUACUUGUCUCUUCCACUUAGAUAAAAUAGAUAGUUGCCUGUUAAAGGCCACAACUGGUGCUCCAAACCUCAAGCCUAUUCAACUAUUAAAUGAUCAAGUUAGAGCUAUAUGGCUAAUAGAAUAUACAAAUUAGAUUCAUCUAGUUGACCCUAAACGUCACACACGUAAGAAAGAAUGAGAAAGAAAUCCAAGAUACAUCCUAUCACACUCUCGCAGAAUCACGAUUAUAGAAAUGGCCGGCAACAUAACCAUAAUUGAGAUUCUACUACUAUCGUGUGCUCCAUAGACACAGAAUUAACCUAGACUCUCUGAUACAUCAAUAUCAUUAUUUCAUGUAAGCCAAGUGAACCAAUAGUUCAGUAAUAAACUUCGAAAAAUAUCGUAUCAUAUCAAAUAUUACAUAUUUGGGAGUUUUUCAAUAAUGAAUCAUGUAAGCAGUGUGACAUUCUUCUUUAUUAAGAAUAACUCAUAACAGUGGACCCCUCAUAAAAGAGUCAAAUCAUAUCAUCUUAGUGGCCAUUCUUCUUCAUUAAGAAUAAUCCAUAACAGUGGAUCCCUCGUAAAGGAGUCAAAUCAUAUCAGUAUCAGUAUGCUAGUUCUACCUUCCCACUAGCGAGGGCUGUAAUAUUCAUCAGAAAAUACAAGGUGCACCAGGUCUAAUGAUCCCGUCGUUAGCUACGAGAUUCAAAUCAAGGUCUACUCCCAUUUAUAAAUUCUUUGUAAACAAUAGGAUAUUCAUAUGAAAGCAUUUUUCAGAAUAAUACAUAUCAUUUAAAGUUCAUAUCAAAUCAUGCUACAUAUAAACUUGAGUAAAAACACAUGUCAAAAAUACUUGUUUCUCAUGUAAGUGAAAAUAUUCACCAUAAUAAUAUCAUAUCUUAAAUAACCACUUCAAUAUCAUGUCAAGAUCAUAUCUCAAAUAGCCAUUUCAAUAUCAUAUCGAGAUCAUAUCUCAAAUAACCUUUUUUUCAAUAUCAUAUCAAGAUCAUAUCUCAAAUAACCUUUUCAAUAUCAUAUCAAAAUCAUAUCUUAAAUAACCGUUUCAAUAUCAUAUCAAAUAAAGGACUUGUCCCACAUGCAAUUUCAAAGUAUAUUAUAACUCAUUGUUUCAUCAAAAACAUGUAUAAUUAUGUAAUUUAAUAAACACAAAUCAUGAUAAGAUUACUAUUCACAGUACAAUUUUCGAAAUACCAACUUGUCACCUCGAACAAUUGAUAGGACUCUCUUCAAUCGAAUCUUAAACCCCAAAGAAUU
This 1504-nucleotide long non-coding RNA is filed under the name Capsicum annuum. Its description in RNAcentral is "long non-coding RNA (CANN_LNC021533)". The record is from RNAcentral. Lineage: Eukaryota; Viridiplantae; Streptophyta; Magnoliopsida; Solanales; Solanaceae.